AGAAACUUAGGAUCAAAUCUACUAAACCGGGGGCCUUCAAAGCCCCAAACAAGAGUCAGAAAUCUCUUAGUUUCUG
Molecule: transfer RNA, 76 nt
Filed under: Chelonoidis chilensis (Chilean tortoise)
Lineage: Eukaryota; Metazoa; Chordata; Testudines; Testudinidae
Description: transfer RNA-Trp
Source: RNAcentral